AGGGUUUGAUCCUGGCUCAGAUUGAACGCUGGCGGCAGGCCUAACACAUGCAAGUCGAGCGGUAACAGGGGAAGCUUGCUUUCUGCUGACGAGCGGCGGACGGGUGCGUAACACGUAGGAAUCUGCCUGGUAGUGGGGGAUAGCCCGGAGAAAUCCGGAUUAAUACCGCAUACGCCCUAAGGGGGAAAGCAGGGGAUCAGUUUACUGACCUUGCGCUAUCAGAUGAGCCUGCGUCGGAUUAGCUUGUUGGUGGGGUAAAGGCCUACCAAGGCGACGAUCCGUAGCUGGUCUGAGAGGAUGAUCAGCCACACUGGGACUGAGACACGGCCCAGACUCCUACGGGAGGCAGCAGUGGGGAAUAUUGCACAAUGGGCGCAAGCCUGAUGCAGCCAUGCCGCGUGUGUGAAGAAGGCCUUAGGGUUGUAAAGCACUUUCAGCGAGGAGGAAAGGUGAUUAGUUAAUACCUGAUUACUGUGACGUUACUCGCAGAAGGAGCACCGGCUAACUCCGUGCCAGCAGCCGCGGUAAUACGGAGGGUGCGAGCGUUAAUCGGAAUUACUGGGCGUAAAGCGUGCGUAGGCGGCUACUUAAGUUGGAUGUGAAAGCCCCGGGCUUAACCUGGGAACUGCAUCCAAAACUGGGUGGCUAGAGUGCGAGAGAGGAGUGUGGAAUUUCCUGUGUAGCGGUGAAAUGCGCAGAUAUAGGAAGGAACACCAGUGGCGAAGGCGACACUCUGGCUUGACACUGACGCUGAGGUACGAAAGCGUGGGGGAGCAAACAGGAUUAGAUACCCUGGUAGUCCACGCCGUAAACGAUGUCUACUAAUUGUCC
This 831-nucleotide ribosomal RNA is filed under the name uncultured bacterium. RNAcentral describes it as "bacterial SSU rRNA". It matches the Rfam family "Bacterial small subunit ribosomal RNA", at positions 8 to 825 of the family's 1533-position model. The record is from RNAcentral.